RNAcentral lists this transfer RNA (65 nucleotides) under Scolytinae sp. BMNH 1039965. Its description in RNAcentral is "tRNA-Arg". The record is from RNAcentral. Lineage: Eukaryota; Metazoa; Arthropoda; Insecta; Coleoptera; Curculionidae.
AAAUGAGAAACAAAAUUUGUAUUUAGUUUCGACCUAAAAUUUUGGAAUUUGCCUUCCCUCAUUUG